This is a long non-coding RNA of Lineus longissimus, 582 nucleotides long. RefSeq lists it as uncharacterized. The record is from RefSeq and is a predicted model, not a curated record. The transcript is spliced from 3 exons. Lineage: Eukaryota; Metazoa; Nemertea; Pilidiophora; Heteronemertea; Lineidae.
CUUAUCCCGUUUCCCAAUACGCAAUUUUAGCCGAAUCGUGACGCAAAACACGGCUUGUCUCGAAUCCCGCUAAAAUAAGGGUGUCUAUCCCGAAUCCCGACAGUUAUUUUCGGCCCAUCCCAGUGUCCCGAAAAUACCCGUUCUCCCCCUCAUACAUAGUAGACCAUAUUGUCACAUUGAUGUUUUCUUUCAUUACAGUUCGACUUCGAGAUCUACAUUUUCGACAAAGGCCUGGUGUAAUAUUAUUACGUACUUGAUGAAGGUUUAAUGACACGAAUGAGUACAAGUACAUUACAUUUUUCGACGAAGGCCUUCUGUAAUUUCAUACGCUUCUUACGCAACAUUCAAUAGAUUUAUUUACUGUAUUAUCAUUUCGACCAAGGCGAAUUCGACACUUCAAUUACACAAGGUUAGUAACUUUUGUUCACAAAAUCCAAAUGGAGGCAAAUACAGAACAAUCAAACUUAGUCAUUCCAGUCAGUUACUGAAGCACAGUGAAAACUGUCGGGAGCAGUGCAACUGAUGGCAUGUCAAACUUCCAGUGACUGUCCCUGUCCAUAUUUUUCAAGACAGUACAAAUCU